UGAGACGUGAUGCCGAGCCGUUUUUGGUGAAGUGAGUGAUCCCAUGCUGUCGAGAAAAGCCUCUAGCGAGUUCGUGUGUGGCCAGUACCCUAAACCGACGCAGGUGGUCAGGUAGAGAAUACCGAGGCGUUCGGGUGAACCAUGGUUAAGGAACUCGGCAAAUUGUCCCCGUAACUUUGGGAGAAGGGGAGCCCUGUCUGGUGACGGAUCUUGCAUCCUGAGCUGGGUGGGGUCGCAGAUAGCGGGGGGAAGCGACUGUUUAUUAAAAACACAGGUCCGUGCGAAGUCGUAAGACGCUGUAUACGGACUGACGCCUGCCCGGUGCUGGAACGUUAAGAGGACUGGUUAGUGGGGGUUCGCCCCUGCGAAGCUGGGAAUCUAAGCGCCAGUAAACGGCGGUGGUAACUAUAACCAUCCUAAGGUAGCGAAAUUCCUUGUCGGGUAAGUUCCGACCUGCACGAAUGGCGUAACGACUUCCCCACUGUCUCAACCAUGGGCCCGGUGAAAUUGCACUACGAGUAAAGAUGCUCGUUUCGCGCAGCAGGACGGAAAGACCCCGGGACCUUCACUAUAGCUUGACAUUGGUGUUUGGGAUGGUUUGUGUAGGAUAGGUGGGAGCCGGUGAAGCUGUCACGCUAGUGGCGGUGGAGGCGUUGGUGAAAUACCACUCUGACUGUUUCGGGCAUCUAACUUUGGACCGUGAUCCGGUUCGGGGACAGUGUCUGGUGGGUAGUUUAACUGGGGCGGUUGCCUCCCAAAGAGUAACGGAGGCGCCCAAAGGUUCCCUCAGCCUGGUUGGUAAUCAGGUGUUGAGUGUAAGUGCACAAGGGAGCUUGACUGUGAGACGGACGUGUCGAGCAGGAGCGAAAGCUGGGACUAGUGAUCCGGCACCGGCGUGUGGAAGCGGUGUCGCUCAACGGCUAAAAGGUACCCCGGGGAUAACAGGCUGAUCUUCCCCAAGAGUCCAUAUCGACGGGAUGGUUUGGCACCUCGAUGUCGGCUCGUCGCAUCCUGGGGCUGGAGUUGGUCCCAAGGGUUGGGCUGUUCGCCCAUUAAAGCGGCACGCGAGCUGGGUUUAGAACGUCGUGAGACAGUUCGGUCCCUAUCCGCUGUGCGCGUUGGAGACUUGAGAAGGGCUGUCCCUAGUACGAGAGGACCGGGACGGACGAACCUCUGGUGUGCCAGUUGUCCUGCCAAGGGCAUGGCUGGUUGGCUACGUUCGGGAGGGAUAACCGCUGAAAGCAUCUAAGCGGGAAGCUUGCUUCGAGAUGAGGUCUCCUGCCUCCUUGAGGGGGUAAGGCUCCCUAUAGACGAUGGGGUUGAUAGGCCGGGUGUGGAAGCCUUGUGAGGGGUGGAGCUGACCGGUACUAAUAGGCCGAGGGCUUGUCCG
RNAcentral lists this ribosomal RNA (1390 nucleotides) under Nocardiopsis sp. TNDT3. RNAcentral's name for it is "bacterial LSU rRNA". It matches the Rfam family "Bacterial large subunit ribosomal RNA", at positions 1557 to 2925 of the family's 2925-position model. Lineage: Bacteria; Bacillati; Actinomycetota; Actinomycetes; Streptosporangiales; Nocardiopsidaceae. The record is from RNAcentral.